GACGAACGCUGGCGGCGUGCCUAAUACAUGCAAGUCGAGCGGACUUUCAAGAAGCUUGCUUUUUGAAAGUUAGCGGCGGACGGGUGAGUAACGCGUGGGCAACCUGCCUGUAAGACGGGGAUAACUCCGGGAAACCGGGGCUAAUACCGGAUAAUAUCUUUCUUCGCAUGAAGGAAGGUUGAAAGGCGGCGCAAGCUGCCGCUUGCAGAUGGGCCCGCGGCGCAUUAGCUAGGUGGUGGGGUAACGGCUCACCAAGGCGACGAUGCGUAGCCGACCUGGGAGGGUGAUCGGCCACACUGGGACUGAGACACGGCCCAGGCUCCUACGGGAGGCAGCAGUAGGGGAUCUUCCGCAAUGGACGAAAGUCUGACGGAGCAACGCCGCGUGAGCGAAGAAGGUCUUCGGAUCGUAAAGCUCUGUUGUCAGGGAAGAACAAGUACCGUUCGAAUAGGGCGGUACCUUGACGGUACCUGACCAGAAAGCCACGGCUAACUACGUGCCAGCCGCCGCCGUAA
Molecule: ribosomal RNA, 515 nt
Filed under: uncultured bacterium
Lineage: Bacteria
Description: partial 16S ribosomal RNA
Rfam family: Bacterial small subunit ribosomal RNA
Source: RNAcentral